GGUUAAGCGACUAAGCGUACACGGUGGAUGCCCUGGCAGUCAGAGGCGAUGAAGGGCGUGCUAAUCUGCGAUAAGCGCCGGUAAGGUGAUAUGAACCGUUAUAACCGGCGAUACCCGAAUGGGGAAACCCAGUGUGACUCGUCACACUAUCAUUAACUGAAUCCAUAGGUUAAUGAGGCGAACCGGGGGAACUGAAACAUCUAAG
Molecule: ribosomal RNA, 205 nt
Filed under: Salmonella enterica
Lineage: Bacteria; Pseudomonadati; Pseudomonadota; Gammaproteobacteria; Enterobacterales; Enterobacteriaceae
Also listed under: 1 other name
Description: partial 23S ribosomal RNA
Rfam family: Bacterial large subunit ribosomal RNA
Source: RNAcentral